CAGGAGACAGGUGGACGAUGUACAGAGGUGAAAUUUUGCAAUGGAUCAGAGCGGUCAAGCAAACAUGGAUCCAGCAGUUUUCGCUGCCUUCGACAUCCCUCAGACACUGGCCUCGAGACACCCGUGGACAAACCCCUUCGACUAUCAGGUACUAUUAAACUCACUAAAACACUAGCAACACAAUAGAAAGAUAAGGGAUUUCCCAGAAUUAUCCUAGUAAAUGUGUCUAAAAACAUCUGAAUCUGUCCCAAUGCAAUCGCCUUUUUUUUUUUUUUUUACUUGAUUUUUAUUUUUUCUAGCCCUUCUUUAUCAAUAUCCUCAAACACGAAUCUUUCUUCCUCGCUCAAAUUAAUGGGGAAAUUGUCGUUUUCUCGGUCCGAAUAGCUCUUUUCGUUGGAGGCUCCCAUUAAAAACAAUGUGAGGACGUGAGGAGCCCUCAACGGGUGACGUCAUAGUCUGCGACUUCCGGUAAAGGCAGGGCUUUUCUGUUAGCGACCAAAACUUGCGAACUUUAUCGUCGAUGUUCUCUACUAAAUCCUUUCAGCAAAAAUAUUGCAAUAACGCAAAAAGAUCAAGUAUGACACAUAGAAUGGACCAGCUAUCCUCGUUUAAAUAAGAAAAUCUCAUUUCAGUAGGCCUUUAAAAAGAACGUGGAAAAGAAAAAAAAGUACCGGAAAUUGAAGUGGACUUUUGUGAGCUUGUCCUACAUAAUAGUAAUGAAAACAUUAUUAAUGAGAAACAUGAAUAGAUGUUACACUACAGUAAUUAUAUUGGUCACCUAUAACGCAAAUACGAUAACAUGUUGGAUUGGAUUGGUUUUAGCAUUUUUAAUAAUAAAGUGGCCCCAUAUCCUUCCAUUUUUAAGUACGGUUUUUAGAAAUAGUUGAAACAACACUGACCUAAAGCAAACUCCACUUGUGACUUUGGCCUUUUCUUUAGAUUAAAAAACAAACAAAAAAACAAGUAGUUACAAGUGGGGUGGGGUUGGGGACUGUUUACACCGACAAGCAAAUUAAUCAAAGAUAUAGAAGCUAAAAUAAUCAACAUGUUUAAAGCAUAAGAUAAAAAUAAAAACAUACCCGUUUAAUAAUUGUCAGAACGUAUCUCAAAUGAGACUCUUGUAAUUCGUGACAUGACGCCAGCACAUUCCGGCCGGUCUUUCAUUUGUAGUUAACAAUAAAAUAUAUUAUACAAUGUUGGUUUAAUACACAUAACAUACAUCAUGUGUAUGUUUUGUUAGUCACUAAUAAGUAGACAAGAAUAAUAAAUCGCGGUAGUUCACAAUAAGUAUAGCAUUUGUGCCUCGAUUAUGUUCAUU
Long non-coding RNA from Nerophis ophidion (straightnose pipefish), 1318 nucleotides. RefSeq lists it as uncharacterized. NCBI's taxonomy places the organism in Eukaryota, Metazoa, Chordata, Actinopteri, Syngnathiformes, Syngnathidae. The record is from RefSeq and is a predicted model, not a curated record. The transcript has 3 exons.